Molecule: long non-coding RNA, 7389 nt
Filed under: Homo sapiens (human)
Lineage: Eukaryota; Metazoa; Chordata; Mammalia; Primates; Hominidae
Description: HSALNT0303702
Source: RNAcentral
AUUGUCAAUUUUUUAAAAUGAAAUCUUUUUCAUUCAGUUAUAUGUUGGACUUUUAAUUCAAAGUCUUUUUGUUUCUUUGUUUUUGUUUUAAAUUUUACUCACAAAGGUUCUAUACAAUUCUAACUAUGCUUAUUUCUAAGUAUUAUAAUUUUUAUAUUUGAAUUGUUCUCUUAGCAAUCAGUCUACUUGCAUUGUACUGCCACAUUGCUAAGGAGAAAUGUUAACCAUGAUAAAUAAAUUAUUCUAUAUGAAAACCAUGUGAGAAGCAGUUUGAACAUAAUUAGGGUCUGCAGUUUGGAAAGAUGCCCCUGAGUUCUGACUUGGAGUAUUUUUUGACAUCACCAUUGUGUUGUUUGUUUUCCUGUGUGUGUGUGCAUCUUGCUCCUCUCUCCCUGUCAUUGUACUCUCCACAGGAUUUUUCUCCUGACAUUCACGCAUGCACCCCCACCCAUCUUGGCUUAUGUAGAAAAUUACUGCCCAUGUCUUUGAGAUGCAUUCUUGGAACACCCAGAACAAAUGCUCUUUAUACCCAAAAGUCUUAGUUUAAAAUCAGACAAUUCAAACAGAGCCUUUAGAUUUGUGGAAAUCCAAUUAUCCACUUUUAUGAGAUAUCAUCACAAACAGAUGAAAAUAUAUUCAUAUGCUUUAAUAUAUAUUCAUAGGUAAGAUUUGUUUGUAAUUUUCUUUUUUGCUAUCUAUGGUUUUGUUCUAGAUAAUGCUGGUUUCAUAAAAUAGAUUGUACACCUUAUGUCAUUUUCUGAACUCUGAAACAAUUUGAAUAGUGUGAUAGAUGUUAAGCCCUUGAAAGUGUGAAUUUACUUCUCAUGAAAAAUAAUCUACAAGUUGUACUUUGACACCUGUUCCAAUUCCUCUCUGUUCAUGCAUUCAAGUUGUUGAAUGCCUGCCCUCUGCCAGAAACCAUAUUAGAUAUGUUUCAGUUUCUACUUAUCCUUGAUUCAAUUUGAAGUAAUUAUUUUGACCCAGAGAUUCAUCAGUUUCAUUGAGAUAUUCAAAUUGAGUGAAGUUAUGCAUAAUCUUCUUUUAUAAUUUUUGAAUCUCUUCUAAUUUGGAUUUUUGUGUUUUCACUUUUUUCAUUAGACUUGUCAUAUGUGUAUAUUCUAUUGCUUAUAUGUAGAGAGUUUGUCUUGAAUAUCUCAGUUCUGCUUUUUCCCUCUAUUUUUAAGUAUAUUAGCUUCUGAUCUUAUUAUUUACAUUUUUCUAGUAUAUUUAUACUUAUUUUCUAAUUUCUUAAUGAAUCUAUAGUAAUUGUUUUCUUCAAUAAUGACCGUAUUUACAGCCAAACAUGUAUCUCUGGUAACUGCUGUGGCUGCAUUUUCAUGUGUUUUUAUAUGUAAUGUUCUACGUUUUCAUUUUAUAAAUAGUUUGUAUUUUUAUCGUAAGCUUAAAAUAUAUUCAGUCAUUUUAUGUGUCACAAAAGAAACAGACACAUUUAAGCUAGCAAAAAACUUUUCAUACAAAGCCUGUGUGUCUUCUGGCUUUGAAUAAUAACCACAGUCACUUGAAAUACUUUAAAUUUUAUGUGAUUAAAAUUAAGGCCUAGAAAUUUAUUAAUGGAAUACUUCAAACCUAAAUUUUAUUUUUAAGAGUCUUUAUCCUCCUAGACUGAUUUUUUUUUGACUAAUUGUGUUCUCUAUUAAGACAUAAGUUAAGUUUUAUUCAUCUUUUUAUUAUCUAAGACAUGUAUGCUUACAGGAACAUAAUAGGUUUGCAUAAAUUUUAUUAAACACAUAAAGGCAGUCUAUAGAAAAUAUCGUUUUCAGGACAAGAAAUAAUCAUCUACUUUAGGAAUCUGAGUAACCACUGGAAAUCUCUGUGUUCUAUUAAUCUGAACAGUUGCUAUUACAGGCAACAGAAAUGCAAAUUUGUUUGAGUAAAUAGAGGGGACUUAGGGUGGCAUAUGUGGGUUAACAGGCACCAGGCAAACACAACAGGAUCACAAGCGAUGUUGUCAGGAUCUAUUGUCCUUGCUCCAUCUUUUGAAUCUGCUUUCUUCUGUGUUGGAGUUCUUAAGGCCCUCUGCUCAUGUCAGGAAAGAUGUCAAUAGCAGCUACAAGCGUAUGGGAUUUACCAGCUAGCAAUUCCAAGAAAUAAUAUAUUUCCCAAGUAAAGCCACUAGGAAGGCUCAAUUCAGCCCAUUUCUGACUCAAUUCCUGAGGCUGGGAGGAUGAGCUCCUCUAAGAUUCCAGGCCUGGGCAUGAUCACACCUCUGUAAUGAGGGCAUGUUCACACCUCUGUAGUGAGGUGUAAUGACGGGGGCAGCUCUCCUCCACCACCUGGGCUGGUGCCCAUCAUGUAGGAAGGUUUGUUUCAGAAGACCAGAGGAUGAAUAUUGGGGCAGGCAACAGGUAAGAGAUGUUUGCAAAAUCAUUGUUUUCAUAAUUUUGAAUGUCCUAUACUUUCAAUUGUAACAUGAUUGCCUGACAUCAAUUCAAAACCCUGAGCUCCCUAGAGAGCUCAGUUGGUGUUGCUGUUCUCUUUACUCUUUCUUUAGCCAUGAGCUUCAACUAGUUCUCAGCUCAAGUCUUACAGCUCCUCUUUUGUUUCUUUAUGUUGAGGAGCGGGGGAAGAUUACAUUCAACUUCAGACAGCUUGGAAAAAGUUAGAAGCAAAAGAUGAAUCUGAAUGCUGUCUGAUAGUCCAUUUUUAAUCAGAGGAGAGCAAUUUUCCCUUCUCAAAGAAUGUCUCUUCACAUCAGGUAUUUGGCUUCUAGGUGCUUGCUGAUUAAUUACUUACAUUUACAUAACAUUAAUCUCCUUUCUAACAAUUUAGCAGGCUUCCAGCCGUUUUCCCCGCCUCAUCAGUCUGGCAGAACAUCCUCGAUCUUAAAAGAGCCACAACUACUUUUGCAAUGUGUAGAUUUUGAAAACUUACUUAAAUAAAACAGAAUAAAAAUCUUAAGCAAAGCUAUAAAUGAUUAUAUCUUCCAUGUAUAUUAGGUAGAUAUCUGAAUGAAAUGCUUGGUCUACACACUUUAUUUUGAGUUGUGUAUAUGGAAAAUAUCUUCCCUUCUGUUUUGAAAUUCCUUCCUUGAAUUCUUUCCCAGAAUCUUAUUCAUUCAUUCUAAGCUCAGCUCCAAUAACACCUCCUUUUGGAGGACCUUCCAGAGCCUCCUGGUCACUUGAUAUCUUUCAUUACAAUUCCACAUCACUAUUUGGGAUUACAUUCAUGCAUUCAUUCAACAGAAAUUUAUUGAGCUCUUCCAAUGUUAACCCCUAUGUAGGUGCUGGGGGCAAAAAUGUGAUGAAAAACAGAAAUAGUCUCUGCUUUCCAGAACCCUCAGUCAAAAGGGAUGUGUAAGGUAUAGUGACUGUGAUGUCACAAAGAUAGGAAUUUAGCCAGGAGGAAAUACUUGCAUUAGAUCUUGAGGAAUAAGCCCAAGUUCACCACACAAGUAAAGAAUGGGGUUGGCAGUACUGUCCUUACAUGGGCCAAGAAGGGUACCCCAUGCUUUCAGGAUCCUGCUGUGUCCUUUCUCUAGCUCUGCACCACCCUAUGUUUCUGCUUUCUAGAACCGGUUUCAACCACCCAGUGCCCCAGAGUUCCCUACCCAAACAUCCCCAAACUCCCUUCCAGGCCUGCACUGGACUUUUCCCCAAGUCCGUACUCUUAAAGGCCAGAAUGUGCUGAUAGUGUGUGUACCCUAGGCCCAAGCUUUGGGGUGAUGUUGGGGAGGGUGAGUGGAGCUUAGAUUAAGUGGUCCAUACAUCUAUACCCAAAAGCGUUUGUUGAAUUGGAGAAAGCCAGGGAGCAGAGAGCAGUGGAGCGGGCUGGCAUAUUCUACAGCAGUAAGUUCCAGCAUGGAAAAAUCCAAGGAGCCUGAAAAUUCUAAAUCUGAGCUUGGCCUUCAGGUGUGCUUCCAUUUAUGCUCUUGCCUUGGGCUGCAGAAAUGUUAGGGCAGGCCUGGAAGCAAGGCACAGAGAUGGUUCUGAGCCGACAGAAGAGAGACAGAAAGGUCCAGAGGUGUAAUUUGGGAAUCCAAUCACAAGCAGGUUGGUGUGACCACAGAAUGACUUGGAAAUUGGCUAGUUAUGCAUGUGUUCAUCUUUCCCUCCAGACGGUAUAUUCUCUGAGGUCAAAUGCCAUGGAACAUUCAUUCCUGUGUUUGGCAGAACAUUUUAUACAGAGUAAGCCCUCAAUUUAUGGUAGAUGAAUUCAUGUUGAACUAAUGAGGUGAUAUACAUUACUUAGAGGGAAACCACAAAUACACUUACACUUUCCACCAUUAACUUAUCAUUAAGACAGCUGUAGUUAAAUCAAUAAUAAAACCUUAAUUUAUAUCAACUGAUACAUGUUACAUGUGGAGUGGGUCUAUGCUAUUUUGGUUUAGUCACAGAUAACUGGUAAUAAGUAAAAUAAGAAAAACAAAAAUGUGGCUAAUAUGCAAGUGUUGUGUCUCAGUUUACUUUUCUAAAAAAUAGGGGCUUAUUGUGCUAACCCAAGCCACUAUAGGCAGGAACGUGACCAUGCAUCGAGCACUCAGAGGGGCAGGCAUUCUAGGAGAUAGAUCUCCAAUGAGAGCUUGGCACCCUCUGACCCUCUGACCUGUUCACAAGGCCCAGCCAUGUUCACUGUUGAGUGCAGGGUCUUUCCAACACAGUUUAGAAUGAAUUGUAUGUGUAAGAUUUCUAAGUUUUUGAAUGUUCUUUUUUUCUUUCACAGGCAUAAGGCAGCCAAGAAGGAUGAGCCGGUGAUCUCUGCAGUCUGCCCAUAACUCCACACAAAACUUUACCCAUUGUCACAGGAGAGUAUAAGCAUAGCAUAAAGAUCCUCGUAGAUGGACUUUCAGCUCCAUGCUUAAAGCAACUGACAAGAAUCCAUUUCUUUUCAGUGUACAAGUGAAGGGUAAAAGACAGAGAAGGAAGAUAGAGCAUAGGAAAAAGAGUGGGGUGAUAUUUGUCCAUUCAUUUGUUGAAGAAAUGGUUAAAUAAAGGAAUGAAUGACUAAAGACCAGGUUGGCAGGUGAAAGCCAGGGCAGGGGCCUGGGGCAGCAGGCAGAGACACAGCUCUCACAAAUGCAAGAGGAAGACGAAUCAGGCACUCGUCUGUUCUUCAAAGGAUACAGAAUGGUUUUAUUGACCACCUGUACAUGUGAUGGCUUUCAUCCUGGAGGAGAAGGGCAUAUCCACACCUACCGAAUAUCUGUUUCACAGGCAAUGUGCCAAUUAUUUACAUGCAUAAUCUCAGUAAAUCCUUAGACAACUCUGUGGAGGCAUUUACUGAUAUCUCCAUUUUACCCAGGAGGACACUGAGGUCCAGAGAGAUUAAACCAUUUGUCUGAGGUCACACGGCCAGUGAAAUUUUGAUGCAGGAUUUAAAUCCAAGUCUGUCUCUUACCACUGUAUCAUGCUGUUUUCAGAGGUGAGGGGAGGUGUCUUAAGAGUACCAUAUGGCUUCUGCCACUGGGGAGACCACUGUCAAAUUCCAAGAGGAAGAUCAUGAGGGUCUCAACUGAAUUACUGAAGGGGAGAUUGUGUGAGAAGAGACAGAUUUAAGACUUAUCUGCAGGGUAGAAAUUGGAUUGGUGAACUUAAUACAAUGUUUCUUUAUUCAUUCAUUUAUUCAUUUCAAUAUUCACUGAGUUUUAUUAUGUGUCAAGACACUGCAUUUAGUUGGCCCAGGGAAGAAUAAAUGUGAAUAGGACACUGCAUUCAAUGAAUGCUGAUUCUAGAAUGAGCAGCAAACUAAAUCCAGUAAUGAUAUUACAGCAUCACCACAUACUUUCAAUUCUACCUCUUAAAUAUCUCAAUCUAUUUCUUCUUUUCUACCCUCACUGACAUGUGGUUCACAGACCUCAUUAUCUCUCACCCGUUGCUGUAGCAGUCUCAUACCAGGCCUUCCCAUCUUGUAUGUGGCACUAACUCGAGUAUAAGGCCAUUUCAUGGUUUUCUGCCAAGAAUUGUUUUCUCAGCUCAUUGGCAAAACAAACACAGCUUCAGUUCCUAACCUGAAAAGUUUAUGCAUGAAGAAUUUAAAAUAUUAGUAAUCUUUUAUUUAACGUAUAUUUUUUGAACACCUACUAUGUGUGAAGUCUUGAGCAGGCACCAAGUAUGUCACUGCAAGAGGCAUGGCCUGUCUUUGAGGGAGGUACAGACAAGUAAAUAGGCAACCCUAAUACAGUGCUAUAAGUGUAAAUGCCUAAAAUAGUUUAAUGGGGUAAAUUUUGGUAGAAUAUAGGAGGGGCAUUUCUUCCAAACUAAGAGUCAGAUGGAGGAAGUGACAUUUAAACAAAAAAAAUGAGAGAAAUAUGUAUGUUUGGAGAUGCUCUCCAACAGAACCUUUCAUCCUACUCAAAAAUAUUUUGAAUGUAUCUUUUGAGAUAUAGGGAGCUAGAAACAUUAAAGAAAAUAUUGUGCUAUUUUUUUCUGGAACUUGAAAACAGAACAGAUUGUAAGAUGGGGAAUGUUUCCUCACUAAUGACUUUAAUAAAAACUCAAAAUCUACUUGUCAGCUUUAAUAUUCAGAGGCAUGUUAUGAGGGCGCCAACUAAAUUGUAUCUUUCUAAUCCUUUUCUCAGUCAUCUUUUAUCCUUCCUAUCCCCUUUGUUGAAAGAACUGCCAAAGCUAAUUCCCUAUCCUGGAGUUUAGGUUGAUAAAUGGAAAGAUUAUUUCCACUGGGAAUAUUGAUAGGCUCCAGGUCUUGACGCUUGGGUUUUGAAAGAGGAUGCUGCUUUUGUUAAUGGAAAUUCAUGAGUACUUGGAACACAGUGAUACAAUAAUUCCUAAGUCUGGGGUCAACAGGGACCUAUGUUUGUUGGCAGGAGGCACCGGCUCAAAUCAAAUCAGCAGUAACAUUAAGACCAUCAAAAUCAAGAGCUCUUAAAGUGGUGCCAUAUACAAGUUUGAUGCAUAGCUAUAAAUGAUGUAGCUGCUUGAAGUCACAGAAUCUGUCUGUGGUGCUUUUGUUACCUCUACUUUCUCCAUCUGAACUGAGCUGAACACCACCUAAGUCUGAUCAUGAGUUUCCUGUUCCAUAAUGGGACCAACACCAAGGACUCUGUCCACUGAUUUGCUGCAACCAUAACAUUUGCUCCCCCCUUCUCUUUUUCAAGUAUUUCUCACAAUAAAAUAAGUACUUCUCCAUUCCACAGUUGGGAUAUAUAUUCAAAAAGUUGAGAUAUAUAUCUCAACUGUAUAAUGACAGGUGACUUUUUCCCUUACUUUAUAAAUUGAGGUUGAAAAGUUAACUAAUAUGGAGAUGAGUACAUACCUACUAAGUUGGAUCUGGGAUUUAAAUCCAAAGUGUUUGACUCCAUACUCUGCGCACUGACUUUGUUACUCCAAUAUAGAUCGGGCAGCAAGCCAGACAAAAAUCCCAGCUUCAGUUUCUGGCUCAUGAGGUUGACCAACAAUAUUUAAGUUAAAAUCAGUG